Vicia villosa (hairy vetch) is the source of this 622-nucleotide long non-coding RNA. RefSeq lists it as uncharacterized. The record is from RefSeq and is a predicted model, not a curated record. The transcript is spliced from 2 exons. NCBI's taxonomy places the organism in Eukaryota, Viridiplantae, Streptophyta, Magnoliopsida, Fabales, Fabaceae.
UUUACAAUUCUCAUGAUCUCUUUCUCUUCCUCCACUCUUCUCUCAUUCUUUCUUUUUCCAUACUACUAUUUUGUCUUCUCUAAAUAUCUUAUCUGUUUUUCUUUCUUUCUUCAUUAUUUUUUCUCCAAUUUUUUUUACUCCUUCCUCAUUGUUUCUUCUACAAUCUAAAUACAUAUAAACACAUUGUUAACUCUAUUUUUUCUCCUUCAUCUUCUUAAUAUUUGUUGUUCUUUUCAUGUUCUAGAUCCACCAAAGACGGAAACAAGUAGUAAAUCAACCUCAAAAACAAGAAACAGGUUGAUAAUUUUAAAUCAGGUCAUGGAUCUACCAAAGACGGAAACGAGAAAUAAAACAAUAUUGAAAAACAAGAAACAAGUAAAUAAUUUUAAAUCAGAUAUGUUUUUAUUUUUUAUUUUUUAAUGUUUAGGGUUUAGAUCUAUAAGUAUAUUUUCUAUUCAAAUCUGUAAUUUUAAAACAACAUCGGAAACAAGUAUAUUUAUUUUUUAUCGGAUUUGUAAUUUUAAAACAACAUCAAACACAAGUAUGUAAUUAUUUUAAUUGUGGCUUGGUUUGCUUCUAUCGAAAUUAUAAAGAAAAAAAUUAAUGUAUACUUAUUUUCUCA